UUUUAAAUAGUUUAAAAUAAUAAAAUAUAAUAUUGAAGAUAUUAAGAUGAUUUAAAAAUCUUUAAAAA
This 68-nucleotide transfer RNA is filed under the name Melanips sp. ZJUH 20220003. RNAcentral's name for it is "tRNA-Phe". Lineage: Eukaryota; Metazoa; Arthropoda; Insecta; Hymenoptera; Figitidae. The record is from RNAcentral.